This 320-nucleotide long non-coding RNA is filed under the name Homo sapiens (human). RNAcentral's name for it is "LHRI_LNC455.1". The record is from RNAcentral. Lineage: Eukaryota; Metazoa; Chordata; Mammalia; Primates; Hominidae.
GGGUAAUUCAGUCACUUUUAUGAAGAAUUGAUACUCAUUGCCGUUUCACAUGUAAACUCACAGGAAAAAAUUACUUUGAAAGAACAUAGAAAAUCAAUCAUAUUGCUGGGUUUUCCCUUCCAGUUUCUUUUCAUUCUUUGGCAAAACAAACAAACAAACAAAACCAACCAACCCAAUUCUAAUCUGCAAAGGCAAGAACAGCCCUAAACUCAAAGAUGUGCUCAGCUGGGAAAAAAAAUGGUUUCAGUUUUGAGAUAAAUGGGCAUGUUAGCACAAUUAGGAUUUUAAUCAGGAGACUGAGAGGGGCAUGUCUGUGGCAC